GCCAUCAGGUCAUGCUGGGGACUCUAACAAAACUGCCCGCGUAAGCGUGGAGGAAGUGGGGAUGACGUCAAAUCAGCACGGCCCUUACGUCCAGGGCUACACACGUGCUACAAUGGCCGGUACAGAGGGCAGCCACUUGGUGACAAGGAGCAAAUCUCAAGAGCCGGUCUCAGUUCGGAUCGGAGUCUGCAACUCGACUCCGUGAAGUUGGAUUCGCUAGUAAUCGUAGAUCAGCAAUGCUACGGUGAAUACGUUCCCGGGCCUU
RNAcentral lists this ribosomal RNA (265 nucleotides) under uncultured Bacteroidota bacterium. Its description in RNAcentral is "uncultured Bacteroidetes bacterium partial 16S ribosomal RNA". It matches the Rfam family "Bacterial small subunit ribosomal RNA", at positions 1117 to 1382 of the family's 1533-position model. Lineage: Bacteria; Pseudomonadati; Bacteroidota. The record is from RNAcentral.